RNAcentral lists this ribosomal RNA (588 nucleotides) under uncultured bacterium. RNAcentral's name for it is "bacterial SSU rRNA". It matches the Rfam family "Bacterial small subunit ribosomal RNA", at positions 76 to 660 of the family's 1533-position model. The record is from RNAcentral.
GAGCUUGCUCCUGAAUUCAGCGGCGGACGGGUGAGUAAUGCCUAGGAAUCUGCCUGGUAGUGGGGGACAACGUUUCGAAAGGAACGCUAAUACCGCAUACGUCCUACGGGAGAAAGCAGGGGACCUUCGGGCCUUGCGCUAUCAGAUGAGCCUAGGUCGGAUUAGCUAGUUGGUGAGGUAAUGGCUCACCAAGGCGACGAUCCGUAACUGGUCUGAGAGGAUGAUCAGUCACACUGGAACUGAGACACGGUCCAGACUCCUACGGGAGGCAGCAGUGGGGAAUAUUGGACAAUGGGCGAAAGCCUGAUCCAGCCAUGCCGCGUGUGUGAAGAAGGUCUUCGGAUUGUAAAGCACUUUAAGUUGGGAGGAAGGGCAGUAAAUUAAUACUUUGCUGUUUUGACGUUACCGACAGAAUAAGCACCGGCUAACUCUGUGCCAGCAGCCGCGGUAAUACAGAGGGUGCAAGCGUUAAUCGGAAUUACUGGGCGUAAAGCGCGCGUAGGUGGUUUGUUAAGUUGGAUGUGAAAGCCCCGGGCUCAACCUGGGAACUGCAUUCAAAACUGACAAGCUAGAGUAUGGUAGAGGGUG